RNAcentral lists this ribosomal RNA (2190 nucleotides) under human gut metagenome. Its description in RNAcentral is "bacterial LSU rRNA". It matches the Rfam family "Bacterial large subunit ribosomal RNA", at positions 282 to 2483 of the family's 2925-position model. The record is from RNAcentral.
UUCGGCGACACCGGGGUCAUGGGACCGCGCCAUUCGACGAUGGACGAAGUGCAAUUACCUGGAAAGGUAAGCCGCGGAGGGUGAUAGCCCCGUGCACGACAACCCCAUCUAAGAUAGCGGAAUCCCGAGUAGGGCGGGACACGAGAAAUCCUGCCUGAAUUCGCCAGGACCCCCUGGCAAGGCUAAAUACUCCCGAGAGACCGAUAGUGAACCAGUACCGCGAGGGAAAGGUGAAAAGUACCCCGAGCAGGGGGGUGAAAUAGACCCUGAACCCGCGCGCCUACAAGCGGUCGGAGCCGAGUGAUUCGGUGACGGCGUGCCUUUUGCAUAAUGAGCCUACGAGUUAGUCGUCACCAGCGAGGUUAAGGGCUUCAGGCCCGUUAGCCGAAGUGAAAGCGAGCCUUAACAGGGCGACGAGUUGGUGGCGCUAGACGCGAAACCUUGUGAUCUACCCACGAGCAGGUUGAAGUCGCGGUAACGCGUGAUGGAGGACCGAACCGGUAAACGUUGAAAAGUUUUCGGAUGACUCGCGGGUAGGGGUGAAAGGCCAAUCAAACUGGGAAAUAGCUCGUACUCUCCGAAAUGCAUUUCGGUGCAGCCUGUGAUGUUCUGUUCCAGAGGUAGAGCUACUGGUUGGACGCGAGGGCUUCACCGCCUAUCAAAUCCGGAUAAACUCCGAAUGCUGGAACACGAAAUCAUGGAGUGAGCCCGCGGGUGCUAAGGUCCGCGGACGAGAGGGAAAGAACCCGGACCACCGGCUAAGGUCCCGGAUGGACAGUUAAGUUGAUCAAACGAGGUGGGAUCGCGGAGACAGCUAGGAUGUUGGCUUGGAAGCAGCCAUUCAUUUAAAGAGUGCGUAACAGCUCACUAGUCGAGCGAUCCCGCGUGGAUAAUACACGGGCAUGAAACUGUCAACCGAAGCCGUGGGGUCAGUGUUGAACUGACCGGUAGGAGAGCAUUCCUGCCAGCGUCGAAGGUCACCCGCGAGAGUGACUGGAGCGGCAUGAAAAGCAAAUGUAGGCAUAAGUAACGAUAAUGGGGGCGAGAACCCCCCACGCCGCAAGACCAAGGAUUCCCCGGCAAUGUCAAUCAGCCGGGGGUCAGCCGGCCUCUAAGGCUAACCCGAAUGGGGACGCCGACGAGAAACGGGUUAACAUUCCCGUGCUUCUCGUCACCGUGACGCGGUGACGGGGUGAUGAAUGGACCGCGCGCUGACGGAAUAGCGCGUUGAAGGCCGUACCCUUUGACGGUGGUAGUCAAGCACGCCACCGGAGGCGAAAGUCGAUAGUACCUCGAGGCCUCGGCCGAGGGGAUAGCGUCCAGGCAAUUUACCCCCGAGAAAACCCGCUAAACUUCAAGUGACGAGGAACCGUACUGUAAACGGACACACGUGGUCGGGUAGAACAUACCAAGGCGCUCGAGUGAUUCAUGGUCAAGGAACUAGGCAAAAUAGUCCUGUAACCUCGGGAAAAAGGACGCUCUAGUGAUAGAGCCGCAGAGUAAUGGCCCAGGCGACUGUUUACCAAAAACACAUGGCUAUGCCAAAUCGAAAGAUGACGUAUAUGGCCUGACACCUGCCCGGUGCCGGAAGGUUAAGAGGAGAGCUCAUCAGCGAUGAGAAGGUUCGAAUUGAAGCCCCGGUAAACGGCGGCCGUAACUAUAACGGUCCUAAGGUAGCGAAAUUCCUUGUCGGGUAAGUUCCGACCUGCACGAAUGGUGUAACGAUCUGGGCACUGUCUCGACCAUGAGCUCGGUGAAAUUGUAGUUCCGGUGAAGAUGCCGGGUACCCGCGACGGGACGGAAAGACCCCGUGAACCUUUACUGCAGCUUCGCGUUGUUCCCGGGCACGGGACGUGUAGGAUAGGUCGGAGGCAAUGAAGCGGUUUCGCCAGGAAUCGUGGAGCCAUCGUUGAAAUACGACCCUUCUCUUGUCUGGGAUCUAACCCGUUUAACGGGGACACCGCGUGGUGGGUAGUUUGACUGGGGUGGUCGCCUCCAAAAGCGUAACGGAGGCUUCCAAAGGUACCCUCGGGUUGGUUGGUAAUCAACCUAGGAGUGCAAUGGCACAAGGGUGCUUGACCGGGAGACUCACAAGUCGAUCGGGUGCGAAAGCAGGGCAUAGUGAUCCGGUGAUCCCGCGUGGAAGGGUCAUCGCUCAAAGGAUAAAAGGUACUCCGGGGAUAACAGGCU